GGCCCCUUUCUACUAAGGAGGCAAGAGGUGGCCAGGAGUCUGUCAGCGAGUUCUGCAUGUCCUGGUGACCCUCCACCUGUUUCACAGGUCGUUGGACUGUGGCAGGAAGCCGGAGUACUAGGAAAGAACCCACGCAAAAACAGGAAGAACAUGCCAACUCCACACAGAGCGACGGUAGAGCUGAACUCAAGACCUUCUUCCUGUGCGGUAACGGUGCUAACCACUGUGCCGCCCGCGUAAGAGGAGAGCCACUGAGGGAACGCCUUCCGCCCUCCAACGCCUCCACCGUGACCUCCACUUCUGACAGGAAUUGCCCACAGAUCAAGCAUGGAGUGUGCCUGAAUGGACAUACAGAACUCCAAGGUUCGGCCCAGUGUUGAGGGUUUUCCCAAAGGAGAGGGCCCGGCGGGCGGUGCCUCA
This is a non-coding RNA of Maylandia zebra (zebra mbuna), 420 nucleotides long. NCBI's taxonomy places the organism in Eukaryota, Metazoa, Chordata, Actinopteri, Cichliformes, Cichlidae. The record is from RefSeq and is a predicted model, not a curated record.